UAGGGAAUCUUCCACAAUGGGCGAAAGCCUGAUGGAGCAACGCCGCGUGUGUGAUGAAGGGUUUCGGCUCGUAAAACACUGUUGUAAGAGAAGAAUGACAUUGAGAGUAACUGUUCAAUGUGUGACGGUAUCUUGCCAGAAAGGAACGGCUAAAUACGUGCUAG
RNAcentral lists this ribosomal RNA (164 nucleotides) under uncultured bacterium. RNAcentral's name for it is "partial 16S rRNA". It matches the Rfam family "Bacterial small subunit ribosomal RNA", at positions 355 to 511 of the family's 1533-position model. The record is from RNAcentral.